This 253-nucleotide ribosomal RNA is filed under the name uncultured bacterium. Its description in RNAcentral is "partial 16S ribosomal RNA". It matches the Rfam family "Bacterial small subunit ribosomal RNA", at positions 524 to 776 of the family's 1533-position model. The record is from RNAcentral.
UACGUAGGGGGCAAGCGUUGUCCGGAUUUAUUGGGCGUAAAGAGCGUGUAGGCGGCCAUACAGGUCAGCUGUGAAAACUCGAGGCUCAACCUCGAGACGUCGGUUGAAACCGUAUGGCUAGAGUCCGGAAGAGGAGAGUGGAAUUCCCGGUGUAGCGGUGAAAUGCGCAGAUAUCAGGAGGAACACCGGUGGCGAAGGCGGGUCUCUGGGCCGAUACUGACGCUGAGACGCGAAAGCGUGGGGAGCGAACAGG